GAUGAAGAACGUAGCGAAAUGCGAUACGUAAUGUGAAUUGCAAAUUCAGUGAAUCAUCGAGUCUUUGAGCGCACAUUGCGCCCCCUGGUAUUCCGGGGGGCAUGCCUGUCCGAGCGUCAUUGCUGCCCUCAAGCACGGCUUGUGUGUUGGGCCCCGUCCUCCGAUCCCGGGGGACGGGCCCGAAAGGCAGCGGCGGCACCGCGUCCGGUCCUCGAGCGUAUGGGGCUUUGUCACCCGCUCUGUAGGCCCGGCCGGCGCUUGCCGAUCAACCCAAAUUUUUAUCCAGGUUGACCUCGGAUCAGGUAGGGAUACCCGCUGAACUUAAGCAUAUCAAUAAGCGGAGGA
This 345-nucleotide unclassified non-coding RNA is filed under the name soil metagenome. Its description in RNAcentral is "partial contains 5.8S ribosomal RNA, internal transcribed spacer 2, and large subunit ribosomal RNA". The stretch from base 1 to 119 matches the Rfam family "5.8S ribosomal RNA", at positions 35 to 154 of the family's 154-position model. The record is from RNAcentral.